RNAcentral lists this ribosomal RNA (454 nucleotides) under uncultured Synechococcus sp. RNAcentral describes it as "bacterial SSU rRNA". It matches the Rfam family "Bacterial small subunit ribosomal RNA", at positions 8 to 508 of the family's 1533-position model. The record is from RNAcentral. Lineage: Bacteria; Bacillati; Cyanobacteriota; Cyanophyceae; Synechococcales; Synechococcaceae.
AGGCUUUGAUCCUGGCUCAGGAUGAACGCUGGCGGCGUGCUUAACACAUGCAAGUCGAACGAACCUUCGGGUUAGUGGCGGACGGGUGAGUAACGCGUGAGAAUCUGCCCUCAGGAGGGGGAUAACGGCUGGAAACGGCCGCUAAUACCCCAUAUGCCGAGAGGUGAAACGAAUUUCGCCUGAGGAUGAGCUCGCGUCUGAUUAGCUAGUUGGUGGGGUAAAGGCCUACCAAGGCGACGAUCAGUAGCUGGUCUGAGAGGAUGAUCAGCCACACUGGGACUGAGACACGGCCCAGACUCCUACGGGAGGCAGCAGUGGGGAAUUUUCCGCAAUGGGCGAAAGCCUGACGGAGCAACGCCGCGUGAGGGAUGAAGGCCUCUGGGCUGUAAACCUCUUUUCUACAAGGAAGAAGAUCUGACGGUACUUGAGGAAUAAGCCACGGCUAUAUCCGUGC